RNAcentral lists this unclassified non-coding RNA (279 nucleotides) under plant metagenome. RNAcentral's name for it is "partial contains small subunit ribosomal RNA, internal transcribed spacer 1, and 5.8S ribosomal RNA". The record is from RNAcentral.
UUUCCGUAGGUGAACCUGCGGAGGGAUCAUUAAAGUUAUAGUCCCCCGGCCCUCUUGGCUGAGCUCUUCUAUACCGCCCUUUCUGUAUUACACCUUUCUUGCUUUGUCAGACCUGCCCACCUACGUCUGGCCCCGGCCGGCUAGCCUCUGCCAGAGGACCUACACUCUGUUUGUAUAUUAUGUCUGAGUACUAUACAAUAAUUAAAACUUUCAAAAACGUAUCUCUAAGUUCUGUCUUCGAUGAAGAACGCAUCAAAUCUGAAGAACACACGUCGGAAC